RNAcentral lists this ribosomal RNA (1952 nucleotides) under human gut metagenome. RNAcentral's name for it is "bacterial LSU rRNA". It matches the Rfam family "Bacterial large subunit ribosomal RNA", at positions 1 to 1977 of the family's 2925-position model. The record is from RNAcentral.
UUAAGCGACUAAGCGUACACGGUGGAUGCCCUGGCAGUCAGAGGCGAUGAAGGACGUGCUAAUCUGCGAAAAGCGCCGGCAAGGUGAUAUGAACCGCUACAGCCGGCGAUGUCCGAAUGGGGAAACCCAGUGUGUUUCGACACACUAUCGCAACAUGAAUACAUAGUGUUGCGAGGCGAACCGGGGGAACUGAAACAUCUAAGUACCCCGAGGAAAAGAAAUCAACCGAGAUUCCCCCAGUAGCGGCGAGCGAACGGGGAGCAGCCCAGAGUCUGAAUCAGCUUGUGUGCUAGUGGAAGCGUCUGGAAAGUCGCAGGGUACAGGGUGAUACUCCCGUACACGAAAGCACACUUGCUGUGAACUCGAAGAGUAGGGCGGGACACGUGGUAUCCUGUCUGAAUAUGGGGGGACCAUCCUCCAAGGCUAAAUACUCCUGACUGACCGAUAGUGAACCAGUACCGUGAGGGAAAGGCGAAAAGAACCCCGGCGAGGGGAGUGAAACAGAACCUGAAACCGUGUACGUACAAGCAGUGGGAGCCUCUUUAAUGGGGUGACUGCGUACCUUUUGUAUAAUGGGUCAGCGACUUAUAUUCUGUAGCAAGGUUAACCGUAUAGGGGAGCCGCAGGGAAACCGAGUCUUAACUGGGCGUUAAGUUGCAGGGUAUAGACCCGAAACCCGGUGAUCUAGCCAUGGGCAGGUUGAAGGUUGGGUAACACUAACUGGAGGACCGAACCGACUAAUGUUGAAAAAUUAGCGGAUGACCUGUGGCUGGGGGUGAAAGGCCAAUCAAACCGGGAGAUAGCUGGUUCUCCCCGAAAGCUAUUUAGGUAGCGCCUCGUGAACUCAUCUCCGGGGGUAGAGCACUGUUUCGGCUAGGGGGCCAUCCCGGCUUACCAACCCGAUGCAAACUGCGAAUACCGGAGAAUGUUAUCACGGGAGACACACGGCGGGUGCUAACGUCCGUCGUGAAGAGGGAAACAACCCAGACCGCCAGCUAAGGUCCCAAAGUCAUGGUUAAGUGGGAAACGAUGUGGGAAGGCCCAGACAGCCAGGAUGUUGGCUUAGAAGCAGCCAUCAUUUAAAGAAAGCGUAAUAGCUCACUGGUCGAGUCGGCCUGCGCGGAAGAUGUAACGGGGCUAAACCAUGCACCGAAGCUGCGGCAGCGACGCGUAUGCGUUGUUGGGUAGGGGAGCGUUCUGUAAGCCGUCGAAGGUGUGCUGUGAGGCAUGCUGGAGGUAUCAGAAGUGCGAAUGCUGACAUAAGUAACGAUAAAGCGGGUGAAAAGCCCGCUCGCCGGAAGACCAAGGGUUCCUGUCCAACGUUAAUCGGGGCAGGGUGAGUCGACCCCUAAGGCGAGGCUGAAAAGCGUAGUCGAUGGGAAACAGGUUAAUAUUCCUGUACUUGGUGUUGCUGCGAAGGGGGGACGGAGAAGGCUAUGUUGGCCGGGCGACGGUUGUCCCGGUUUAAGCGUGUAGGUGUGUGUUCCAGGCAAAUCCGGUUCACUUUACACUGAGGCGUGACGACGAGGCACUACGGUGCUGAAGCAACAAAUGCCCUGCUUCCAGGAAAAGCCUCUAAGCUCCAGGCAACACGAAAUCGUACCCCAAACCGACACAGGUGGUCAGGUAGAGAAUACCAAGGCGCUUGAGAGAACUCGGGUGAAGGAACUAGGCAAAAUGGUGCCGUAACUUCGGGAGAAGGCACGCUGGCGCGUAGGUGAAGGGACUUGCUCCCGGAGCCGAGGCCAGUCGAAGAUACCAGCUGGCUGCAACUGUUUAUUAAAAACACAGCACUGUGCAAACACGAAAGUGGACGUAUACGGUGUGACGCCUGCCCGGUGCCGGAAGGUUAAUUGAUGGGGUUAUCCGUAAGGAGAAGCUCUUGAUCGAAGCCCCGGUAAACGGCGGCCGUAACUAUAACGGUCCUAAGGUAGCGAAAUUCCUUGUCGGGU